Molecule: long non-coding RNA, 209 nt
Filed under: Mytilus galloprovincialis (Mediterranean mussel)
Lineage: Eukaryota; Metazoa; Mollusca; Bivalvia; Mytilida; Mytilidae
Source: RNAcentral
UGUUUAUUAAAUCAGCAUUCAGUAUAGUUUAUCAAUCACAAUAAUCACAAUAAUCACAUAAAUUCAUGAGACAUAAUAAAACAGUAUGUCUAAUAUAAUCCAAGUCUAUAACACCAGUGUCCAAUAUGUGACUAUAAGGCAAGUGUCCCAAUCUACAUGGUCAACUAAUAUAUAUUGUAUUUCAUUAUUUAAUUUACAUAACAUUAAUA